UGCAAGUCGAACGAUGAUCCCAGCUUGCUGGGGGAUUAGUGGCGAACGGGUGAGUAACACGUGAGUAACCUGCCCUUAACUCUGGGAUAAGCCUGGGAAACUGGGUCUAAUACCGGAUAUGACUCCUCAUCGCAUGGUGGGGGGUGGAAAGCUUUUUGUGGUUUUGGAUGGACUCGCGGCCUAUCAGCUUGUUGGUGAGGUAAUGGCUUACCAAGGCGACGACGGGUAGCCGGCCUGAGAGGGUGACCGGCCACACUGGGACUGAGACACGGCCCAGACUCCUACGGGAGGCAGCAGUGGGGAAUAUUGCACAAUGGGCGCAAGCCUGAUGCAGCGACGCCGCGUGAGGGAUGACGGCCUUCGGGUUGUAAACCUCUUUCAGUAGGGAAGAAGCGAAAGUGACGGUACCUGCAGAAGAAGCGCCGGCUAACUACGUGCCAGCAGCCGCGGUAAUACGUAGGGCGCAAGCGUUAUCCGGAAUUAUUGGGCGUAAAGAGCUCGUAGGCGGUUUGUCGCGUCUGCCGUGAAAGUCCGGGGCUCAACUCCGGAUCUGCGGUGGGUACGGGCAGACUAGAGUGAUGUAGGGGAGACUGGAAUUCCUGGUGUAGCGGUGAAAUGCGCAGAUAUCAGGAGGAACACCGAUGGCGAAAGCAGGUCUCUGGGCAUUAACUGACGCUGAAGAGCGAAAGCAUGGGGAGCGAACAGGAUUAGAUACCCUGGUAGUCCAUGCCGUAAACGUUGGGCACUAGGUGUGGGGGACAUUCCACGUUUUCCGCGCCGUAUCUAACGCAUUAAGUGCCCCGCCUGGGGAGUACGGCCGCAAGGCUAAAACUCAUAGGAAUUGACGGGGGCCCGCACAAGCGGCGGAGCAUGCGGAUUAAUUCGAUGCAACGCCGAGAAACUUACCAAAGCUUGACAUGAACCGGAAACACCUGGAGACAGGUGCCCCGCU
This 952-nucleotide ribosomal RNA is filed under the name Pseudarthrobacter siccitolerans. Its description in RNAcentral is "bacterial SSU rRNA". It matches the Rfam family "Bacterial small subunit ribosomal RNA", at positions 56 to 1019 of the family's 1533-position model. Lineage: Bacteria; Bacillati; Actinomycetota; Actinomycetes; Micrococcales; Micrococcaceae. The record is from RNAcentral.